This 939-nucleotide ribosomal RNA is filed under the name Peroplatypus laosi. RNAcentral's name for it is "partial large subunit ribosomal RNA". The record is from RNAcentral. Lineage: Eukaryota; Metazoa; Arthropoda; Insecta; Coleoptera; Curculionidae.
CGUUUAGGGGUAAACUGAGAACCGAAGGUCGAAGGAAGAAAUUCAUUCGUGUGUCACUAUUGAUGGAAUUGUGUGUGUUUGACGAUAUACGGAUAUGAUUAUCGGUAACGAUGAUUGUAUGAUGUAUCUAUUGCUGCAUACCUAUUUUAAAUCUGAUAGUGAACACGUGCAUUUUUCUUCUGGUAGGACGUCGCGAUCCGUUAGGAUUAUUAUCGGUCUAUGAUUAUCUACGGUUUAUAAGAUCAUUGAUACAUGCAUAACGAAAAAUUGUGUAUGGUAAUAUUAAUGAAUCCGUUAUAUCUGGCCGAUUUACCUGACGGUAUACUGAAUGGUUAGAGGUCGCUACUAAUUUUUUUCUAGUAAGCGUUAGAGGCUUGGCAAGUGUAUCAAUGGUGAAAAGGUAUUAUCAUUAUUUAAUCACAAUGAUGAUAGUGCUUUCGGUAAUCGAUAUUUAUAUCAAUUCCGAGCCAUUGGUAUAUUGUUGGUCGAGCAUAUCUCUGACUGACCUUAUUAUUAUACAAAUAUAAAACCAAUCAGCGACGCUAUAGCUUUGGGUACUUUCAGGACCCGUCUUGAAACACGGACCAAGGAGUCUAGCAUGUUCGCAAGCCAUUGGGAAUUUUUAAACCUAUAGGCAAAAUGAAAGUGAAAACAGUUUCACAUUUCUAUUGAAAUUGGAAUUGAAGGGAAGAUGAAUAAACUUUGUUUCGUAUGAAACAUGUUGUUUCGCAUUCCCGGGGCGUUUAAAUUUCAUUUUUUUAAUUAUUUGAAAGAAUGAGAUUAUGCGCACCAAGAGUGUACACGCUGGGACCCGAAAGAUGGUGAACUAUGCCUGGUCAGGACGAAGUCAGGGGAAACCCUGAUGGAGGUCCGUAGCGAUUCUGACGUGCAAAUCGAUCGUCGGAACUGGGUAUAGGGCSAAAGACUAAUCGAACCAUC